UCGCUCAGGCCUCAGGACAGUA
This 22-nucleotide unclassified non-coding RNA is filed under the name Mus musculus (house mouse). RNAcentral describes it as "oocyte_clustered_small_RNA2405". The record is from RNAcentral. Lineage: Eukaryota; Metazoa; Chordata; Mammalia; Rodentia; Muridae.